ACUCGAGUGGCGAACGGGUGAGUAACACGUGGGUGAUCUGCCUUGCACUUCGGGAUAAGCUUGGGAAACUGGGUCUAAUACCGGAUAGGACAGCUGUUUAGUGUCAGUUGUGGAAAGUUUUUCGGUGUAGGAUGAGCUCGCGGCCUAUCAGCUUGUUGGUGGGGUAAUGGCCUACCAAGGCGGCGACGGGUAGCCGGCCUGAGAGGGUGGACGGCCACAUUGGGACUGAGAUACGGCCCAG
Molecule: ribosomal RNA, 241 nt
Filed under: uncultured Actinomycetales bacterium
Lineage: Bacteria; Bacillati; Actinomycetota; Actinomycetes; Actinomycetales
Description: partial 16S ribosomal RNA
Rfam family: Bacterial small subunit ribosomal RNA
Source: RNAcentral